AGUGGCGGACGGGUGAGUAACGCGUAAGAAUCUAACUUCAGGACGGGGACAACAGUGGGAAACGACUGCUAAUACCCGUUGUGCCGCGAGGUGAAACCUAAUUGGCCUGAAGAAGAGCUUGCGUCUGAUUAGCUAGUUGGUGGGGUAAGAGCCUACCAAGGCGACGAUCAGUAGCUGGUCUGAGAGGAUGAGCAGCCACACUGGGACUGAGACACGGCCCAGACUCCUACGGGAGGCAGCAGUGGGGAAUUUUCCGCAAUGGGCGAAAGCCUGACGGAGCAACGCCGCGUGAGGGAGGAAGGUCUUUGGAUUGUAAACCUCUUUUCUCAAGGAAGAAGUUCUGACGGUACUUGAGGAAUCAGCCUCGGCUAACUCCGUGCCAGCAGCCGCGGUAAUACGGGGGAGGCAAGCGUUAUCCGGAAUUAUUGGGCGUAAAGCGUCCGCAGGUGGUCAGCCAAGUCUGCCGUCAAAUCAGGUUGCUUAACGACCUAAAGGCGGUGGAAACUGGCAGACUAGAGAGCAGUAGGGGUAGCAGGAAUUCCCAGUGUAGCGGUGAAAUGCGUAGAGAUUGGGAAGAACAUCGGUGGCGAAAGCGUGCUACUGGGCUGUAUCUGACACUCAGGGACGAAAGCUAGGGGAGCGAAAGGGAUUAGAUACCCCUGUAGUCCUAGCCGUAAACGAUGGAUACUAGGCGUGGCUU
RNAcentral lists this ribosomal RNA (700 nucleotides) under uncultured bacterium. RNAcentral's name for it is "bacterial SSU rRNA". It matches the Rfam family "Bacterial small subunit ribosomal RNA", at positions 94 to 828 of the family's 1533-position model. The record is from RNAcentral.